UGGGGAAUUGUUCGCAAUGGGCGCAAGCCUGACGACGCAACGCCGCGUGGAGGAAGAAGGUCUUCGGAUUGUAAACUCCUGUUGACCGGGACGAAUGGGCACCGACCUAACACGUCGGGGCUGUGACGGUACCGGUGGAGGAAGCCACGGCUAACUCUGUGCCAGCAGCCGCGGGAAUACAGAGGUGGCAAGCGUUGUUCGUAAUUACUGGGCGUAAAGGGCGCGUAGGCGGCCUUCUAAGUCGGACGUGAAAUCCCCAGGCUUAACUUGGGAACUGCGUCUGAUACUGGAAGGCUUGAGUGCGGGAGAGGGAUGUGGAAUUCCAGGUGUAGCGGUGAAAUGCGUAGAUAUCUGGAGGAACACCGGUGGCGAAGGCGGCAUCCUGGACCGACACUGACGCUGAGGCGCGAAAGCCAGGGGAGCAAA
This 426-nucleotide ribosomal RNA is filed under the name uncultured bacterium. Its description in RNAcentral is "bacterial SSU rRNA". It matches the Rfam family "Bacterial small subunit ribosomal RNA", at positions 355 to 772 of the family's 1533-position model. The record is from RNAcentral.